GCGCUUGUAGCUCAACCGGAUAGAGCACCGGCCUUCUAAGCCGGGGGUCGCAGGUUCGAGUCCUGCCAAGCGCACCA
RNAcentral lists this transfer RNA (77 nucleotides) under Methylobacter tundripaludum. RNAcentral describes it as "tRNA-Arg". It matches the Rfam family "tRNA". From Rfam's summary of the family: Transfer RNA (tRNA) molecules are approximately 80 nucleotides in length. Their secondary structure includes four short double-helical elements and three loops (D, anti-codon, and T loops). Further hydrogen bonds mediate the characteristic L-shaped molecular structure. tRNAs have two regions of fundamental functional importance: the anti-codon, which is responsible for specific mRNA codon recognition, and the 3' end, to which the tRNAs corresponding amino acid is attached (by aminoacyl-tRNA synthetases). tRNAs cope with the degeneracy of the genetic code in two manners: having more than one tRNA (with a specific anti-codon) for a particular amino acid; and 'wobble' base-pairing, i.e. permitting non-standard base-pairing at the 3rd anti-codon position. RNAcentral also lists the same sequence under 12 other names. Lineage: Bacteria; Pseudomonadati; Pseudomonadota; Gammaproteobacteria; Methylococcales; Methylococcaceae. The record is from RNAcentral.